RNAcentral lists this long non-coding RNA (4712 nucleotides) under Sus scrofa (pig). RNAcentral describes it as "lncRNA (ENSSSCG00015042704.1)". The record is from RNAcentral. Lineage: Eukaryota; Metazoa; Chordata; Mammalia; Artiodactyla; Suidae.
AAAAAAAAAAGAGUCUUAAGUUCAUUAGUAUUUAAGAGCCAAAAUACGCUGGCCUUGAUUUAUCUUUUCAAAAUAUUUGAAGUCAGACUGUUAAUUUUAUUAACAGAGGCCAGAGAAAUGGGGGAGGAGAAGUAUUUUCAUUUCUCUCCUCUCCUUCAUCUUUUUGAUGACAGUCCCUUAAAGAGGUCAUUAAUAUUUCUGUUUUAGUUUGAGUUGUAUGACCUUUGGCCACCCUGAUUUUACUCCACUAGAAAGCAGAGCUUGAUUUUCACUGGUUUAACCCAGUCUAUGAAAUUAACACUCUACCUGAAGAAUAGAAUAUUAAUCAGGAAUUUUGCACAGGGGAUCAGAGAUUAAAUGGAAUAAUCAGUAAUAGUAGACACUCACUUGGUCAAUAGCUUUUCCUUUUAUUUGAGGAGGUGUAAGACUGGUUAGACAUGUGGAUUUCAAGUCAAAGAAUAGACAUAAAUCCUUUUUCUGUCACUGUAUGAUCUCAGGAAAAUUGCUUAACCCAAGUCUGUUUAUAUACCUGCAACCUGAGUAUUACAUUACUUACCUUAUCAGAUUGUUGGGUGGGAUAAGUAUGAUCAUGGCAAUGUCUGUUUGACAAUGUCAUGCAAUGUUGCAGACUCCAGAGCUUGGCUUUGAUCUGAGCUCCAACUGUUAUUAGUUUUCUGAAUUUAAGCUAGAUACUAUUUUCUUUAAUCUAUAAAAUUGAGAAUAAGAACAGUAUUUCCUUAUAGAGUAAUUGUGAUAAAUAAGGAUUACAGAGUACUAGCGUGUAGUCAAGACUUAAUAUAUGUUAACAGCUGAGUUGGUGAUGUGGCUGUAAUAAUGAGGAUGAUGAUAUAAAACCUUGACAUAACUGUUCUUUAGAAAAAUACAGAUGCCUUCAUUGAAUAAAUCCUGCAUCAGAAGCCCCAGAAUAUUUAUUAAAACACAAAUUGCUGGGUGCCAGCCUUAGCGCUUCUGAUUUAAAAGGUCUGAGAUGUGGCCCAAGAAUUUGUAUUUCUAACAAGUAUCCAAGAGAUGCUGAUGGCUCUUCAUCUGCGGAUCACACUUUGAGAACUAGUGCUGUAGAUAAACCGUUCCAUAAUCCUAAAGGCUUGUGAAAAAAGGAGUCUGUCACUUACGGAAAAGUUGGCCACUUCCCUCUUCUUAGACUCUUGAGCUAAGGUUGUACACUUUAAACAUGUUUAAAAUUAUUUAUUAAAGUUGAUUUAUAUGUUGUGCCCAUUUCUUUUUUAUAAUGUUUUUUAUUUUUUCCAUUAUGGCUGGUUGAUAGUGUUCUGUCAAUUUUCUACUGUAUAGCAAGGUGACCCAAUCACACAUACAUAUAUACAAUCUUUUUUCUCACAUUAUCAUGCGCCACCAUAAGUGAUUAGUUAUUGUUCCCAGGGCUAUACAGCAGGAUCUCAUUGCUUAUCUAUUCCAAAGGCAAUAGUUUGCAUCCGUUAACCAUAAAUAUCCAGUCCAUCCCACUCACUCCUCCUCCCUCCUGGCAACCAUGGGGGGAAAUCUGUUCUCCAUGGACAUGAUUUUCUUUUCUGUGGAAAGGUUCAUUUGUGCCCUAUAUUAGAUUCCAGAUAGAAGUGGUAUCAUAUGGUAUUUGUCUUUCUCUUUCUGAAUUACUUCAUUUAGUAUGAAAGUCUCUAGUUCCAUCCAUGUUGCUGCAAAUGGCAUUAUUUUGUUCCUUUUAUGGCUGAGUAGUAUGCCAUUGUGUAUAUAUACCACAUCUUCUUAAUCCAGUCAUCUGUUGAUGGACAUUUAGGUUGUUUCCUUGUCUUGGCUCUUGUGAAUAGUGCUGCAAUGAACAUUGGAGUCCAUGUGCCUUUUCGAGUCAUGGUUUUCUCUGCAUAGAUGCCCAGGAUUGGGAUUGCUGGGUCAUAUGGUAGUUCUAUAUAUAGUUUUCUAAGGUACCUCCAUACUCUUUUCCAUAGUGGCUGUACCAAUUUACAUUCCCACCAACAGUGCAGAAGGGUUCCCUUUUCUCCACACCCUCUCCAGCAUUUUGUUAUUUGUAGACCUAUUAUUGAUGGCCAUUCUAACUGGUGUGAGGUGGUUCCUCAUAGUAGUUUUGAUUUGCUUUUUCUCUAAUAAUCAGAGAUGUGGAGCAUUUUUUCAUGUGCUUGUUGGCCAUCUGUAUGUCUUCUUUGGAGAAAUGGCUAUUCAGGUCUUUUGCCCACUUUUCAAUUGGGUUGUUGGCCUUUUUGCUGUUGUAUAAGUUGUAUAGUUUAGAGAUUAAGCCCUUGUCAGUUGCAUUAUUUGAAACUAUUUUCUCCUAUUCUGUAAAUUGUCUUUUUGUUUGUUUUUGGGUUUCCUUUGCUGUGCAAAAGCUUGUCAGUUUGAUUAGGUCCCAUUGGUUCAUUUUUGCUUUUAUUUCUGUUGCCUUGGGAGACUGACCUGAGAAAACAUUUGUAAGGUUGAUGUCAGAGAAUGUUUUGUCUAUGUUCUCUUCUAGGAGUUUGAUGGUCCAAUUUCUUCUGUAUAGCAAAUUGACUCAGCCAUACAUAUCUAUACAUUAUUUUUUUAUAUUAUUUUCUAUCAUGGUCUAUCCCAGGAGAUCGGAUAUAGUUCCUUGUGAAAGGUUGUACACUUGAUAUAAAUGUGUGGUCAUGUCAGAUAGUUUUCAUAUUGUCUUCAUCAAGGUAACAUCUUAGGAGUAAGGUGAAUCACAUAUUAGUUGUCAGUUUCUUUCACAUCUCUCUUUAUAUAAUAGACAUUAAUUUUGAACUUUUCCCCUGUUGGAAAUUAUCUCAUGUUCCCAUGGGAAUCUUUUAAACAGUCAAUCUGAUGCAAAAUCAAGAGUGAUGAUUGACUUUUUUUUUUUUUUUUUAAGGCUGCACCUGUGGCAUAUGGAAGUUCCCACGAUAGGGAGUGAGUCUGAGCUGCAGGUGCCAGCCUACACCACAACCAUAGCAACACCAUAUCCGGGCCAUGUCUGCAACCUACACCACAGCUCACAGCAAUGCCAGAUCCUUAACCCACUGAACGAGGCCAGGGAUCUGCAUCCUCAUGGAUACGAGUCAGGUUUGUUUACGCUAAACUACAAUGGGAACUUCCAAGAUGUAAAAAAUAGGUGUAUUUCAGUUAACUUGUUAGGCACUUUUCUCAGAAUAUGCAUUGAAGAAAAAGGGGCUAUAUAAUUAAAUAGUAUCUAGUUUUUCUUCAUUGGAGUUUAGAAAAAAAAUAUUUUUUAGCUGUCAGUUGACUAAGACUUUUAAGUUGAGUAAAAUCAGAGUUCUCUUGUGGUGCAGUAGAGUUAAGUAUUUGGUGUUGUGAACUGCAGUACCUCAGAUUGCUACUAUAACACAGGCUCGAUCCCUGGCCCUGAAACUUUGACAUGUUGCUGGUGUAGCCAAAAAAAAACCCAAUAAAUUGAGUAAAAUCCAUUUCCUCCGUCACUUAUUUGUAGCCAAACAAAAAUCAUGUUUUGUUUUUGUUUUUUCUAUUUAAGAUGUCUGGCUGGGAAUUCCCAUUGUGGCUCAGCGGUAACGAACCUGACUAGUAUCCAUGAGGACUCAGGUUUGAUCCUAGGCCUUGCUCAGUGGGUUAAAAAUCCAGCAUUGCCGUGAGCUGUGGUGUAGGUUGCAGACACGGCUCAGAUCUGGCAUUGCUGUGACUGUGGCGCAGGCCGGCAGCUGCAGCUCGGAUUCAACCCCUAGCCUGGGAAUGUCCAUAUGCUGCAGGUGUGGCCCUAAAAAGCAAAACCAAAAAAAAAAGUCGGGUUCUAUAGCAUUGAACACACUCCAGCAGCUGCCUUGAUUUAUAUUUAAUAUGUCUUAACUUUUCCCUGAAGAUCCUUUAGAAUUCAUUUUAUAGAAAAAGUAGAGUAUAUGUGAGUGUGUGUAUACAAAGAAAAACAAAGUUUCUUAAUGUUAAAAAUAGUUCUGAAACAUUCUAUUUAAUGGUAAAUUCUGUUUGCCCAAAUAGCACUCUGACUAGGUAUUUGAUCCUAUAAAAUUGAGUUGAUCUCUUUGGGCAGUAGUUCUUGAAUCUAUAAGGUCUGAGGUUUAAACUAUAUCAUUUCUAAGGACAUUUCAAGUCCAAUGGAUCUCAGAUGUUUUAUAUUUUCUUGUUAUAAAUGGAUUUUUUGGCAAGGUGAUCCGUAUCAGCUGUUUAUCCUAAGCUACAAUAUUUUUAUAUCUAGCCCACAAAUAUACCAUUAGAAUUAGUGAAUGUCUUUAAAUUAAUAUGAUACCUUCUUAAUAUCUUAAAACAAGUGUGGUUUUACUGAAGCAGAUACCACAAGAACAGCUUUUACAACCUCAGGAAAGUGUCACUGCAAUUCUCUGGAUAUAUUAUUGUUUGAUCUCCAAAGUUAGGACAGUGGUGAUAUGUCUUUAAUCUUGUUACUUAUCUCAAUGGAGUAUUUGUGUAUUAGGUUUACUUACUAGGUGUUGGCAGUGAGAAUAGAGAGGGUGAGAAUAGUGGUGUGAAAUUGAUUGAACUUGAAGGAAAGGCAGGAAUUGAGGGAGUGGUGAAGGGAAGAAGAGGAUGGUGAAGUAAGAAGGCAAGUUAGAUGUUAUUUGAAAAUUCUAUUCUUGUUGCAUAGCAUGAACUUCAAAGGAGGAUUUCCACUUCCGAUAGUGAAUUUGAACCCUCUCAGGACAUACAGCUAAAUAGUGGGUAAUUAGACAUUUGGAACUGGAACUAAGUCUUAGGAGUCAUCAACAAAUGAGUAAUUGUUAAAGCUGCAGAUGAGAAGGAUA